Molecule: ribosomal RNA, 511 nt
Filed under: Physalacria lateriparies
Lineage: Eukaryota; Fungi; Basidiomycota; Agaricomycetes; Agaricales; Physalacriaceae
Description: eukaryotic LSU rRNA
Rfam family: Eukaryotic large subunit ribosomal RNA
Source: RNAcentral
GCUCAAAUUUAAAAUCUGGCAGCUUCAUCGCUGUCCGAGUUGUAAUUUAGAGAAGCAAUGCCUGCGCUGGACCGUGUACAAGUCUCCUGGAACGGUGCGUCAUAGAGGGUGAGAAUCCCGUCUUUGACACGGACUACCAGUGCGCUGUGGUAUGCUCUCGAAGAGUCGUGUUGUUUGGGAAUGCAGCACUAAACGGGUGGUAAAUUCCAUCUAAAGCUAAAUAUUGGCGAGAGACCGAUAGCGAACAAGUACCGUGAGGGAAAGAUGAAAAGAACUUUGGAAAGAGAGUUAAACAGUACGUGAAAUUGUUGAAAGGGAAACGCUUGAAGUCAGUCGCAUUGGUUGGGAAUCAGUCUUGCUCCUCGCUCGAUGUACUUUCCAGUCAAUGGGUCAGCAUCAGUUUCGACCGCUGGACAAAGGCUGAGGGAAUGUGGCACCUUCGGGUGUGUUAUAGCCCUCGGUCGUAUGCGGUGGUCGGGACUGAGGGGGAUCUUCAGGCCGCGAGGCCUAG